This 23-nucleotide non-coding RNA is filed under the name Arabidopsis thaliana (thale cress). Lineage: Eukaryota; Viridiplantae; Streptophyta; Magnoliopsida; Brassicales; Brassicaceae. The record is from RNAcentral.
CCGCUGGCACCUUAUGAGAAAUC